UCUCUCGGUCGUCUGCUUCAGACUUCUCACGGCCAUAUUCACAACCUGGAAUACUUUUCUAAGGAUCCCUUGUUGUUUCUGAGACCUGUGGACCGUUACGGACUAAAGGAAUACAGAUGACGGAGGAAUGGAGAGGGAACCGGAGUUCUACACGUCUAAACGGUCGGCAGUCACCACAGGACAAGACACUGGGACUCUGGUCCAGUCCAGAGGAGGACAAACCAAGAGGGUCCUGACCCAGUAGAGACCCGAUCCCAGGGCGGUCAGGAUGUUAUGAAAGCUGGGCUCAUCUGAACUGUGCUUCACUCCAACUUCAACAGCAGACAUCUGCCGCACGGCGCAGAGAAAAACAUGGUGUUAUUGUUCUGACACUGAGGAAUGUGAGUGAGCUGCGGAGCUGCCUUCAUAUUAUCUUACACUCCAUCCAUUCACUUACAUAAUAGCCCUCAUCGCCGAGCCUUCCUCCCUGUGUGACUCCACUGACCGAGACGUGAUGAGCUGGUACACUCACCGCCGGCAUCGAACACAGUCGACUGUUGGACCACUCCUGGUUCCUGUAGAGGAGGCUCACACAGAUCCACAGACCGAGGUCAGAGCUGGAUCAGAGGAGCCUUCAUGAGGAAUAAACCCAGUGACUGAAUCACACUGAUGUUAUCAGCUCAUCUGUGAUCCCUGAGCAUGAUGACACCAGUCUGUCAGUGAGACCACGUGUUUCUCUGUGUUUGCUGCUCUCUGGUGGCUGCACAUCGUGUCACCUCCACCUUCAGUUCACAAACUGCAGAAGAAGAUUACUGCCACGUGGAAAAAAAUCUUUUUUCUUUUUUUUUUUUUUUUUGGAAAUCUGAAUUUAAUCUCAGAUUAAAAUUCUGCAAUUCUGAUUUUUCUUCUCAGAAUUCUCAGAUUAAAGUCACGUGUGGCCCUAAUCCUCAAGAAGUCAGAAUAUCGACUUUAAUCCGAGGCUCUGUCCGAAAUCUCUCCCGACUCCCCACAUGGUCCACUAUACACUGUCCUGCGUCCUGUGUCCUGCCUGUUAACAGCUGCUGAUGUCUCCAGGGGUGUGGCCAUUGAGACAGCUUUGUUUUACACCCUGACCCUGCUGAUGAAAACCAUGAGGUGUUGUUGAAAGCUCUGGAAAAAGUUGAGUGAACCAUGUCAAUGAUUAAC
This is a long non-coding RNA of Seriola aureovittata, 1164 nucleotides long. RefSeq lists it as uncharacterized. The transcript has 3 exons. The record is from RefSeq and is a predicted model, not a curated record. Lineage: Eukaryota; Metazoa; Chordata; Actinopteri; Carangiformes; Carangidae.